RNAcentral lists this ribosomal RNA (497 nucleotides) under uncultured bacterium. RNAcentral's name for it is "partial 16S ribosomal RNA". It matches the Rfam family "Bacterial small subunit ribosomal RNA", at positions 28 to 507 of the family's 1533-position model. The record is from RNAcentral.
GAUGAACGCUGGCGGCGUGCCUAAUACAUGCAAGUCGAGCGAACAGACGCUGCUCUUGCUCCUCUCACGUUAGCGGCGGACGUGUGAGUAACACGUGUAUCACCUCCCUAUCAUACUGGUAUCACUUCGGGAAACCGGCUCUAAUACCGUAUAAUAUCUUGCACCGCAUUGUUCAUUAGUGAAAUACGGUGUUUCUGUCUCUUCUCGAUGCAUCCGCGCCGUAUUAGCUAGUUGUUAAGUUAACGGCUUACCAAGGCAACGAUGCGUAGCCGACGUGAGAGGGUGAUAGGCCACACGGGAAGUGAGACGCGGUCAAGAGUACUAAGGGAGGCAGCAGUAGGGAAUCGGACGCAAUGGGCGAAAGUAUGACGGAGCAACGCGGAGUGAGAGAUGAAGAUGUUGGGAUCGUAAUAAUCUGUUUUUAGGGAAGAACAAAUGUGUAAGGAAAUAUGCACGGAGUGACGGUAACGAAUAAGAAAGCAACGGCUAACUACGUG